UUCUUCCACAUCUUUUGGAACCCAGCCCAAAAUUUAAUAUGUAAACCUAUAAUCACCUUUCCGCUGUCUGAUUUCGUUGAUAGAAUCAAAAAUUCAUAUUCCCUAGACAACAUCUAAUUCCCCCAUCAAAAUUGAUGAGUUCCCCGUUCCAGAACAACAAUAAAUGAACUGGUCUAUCAGGUGAAUUAUACACACGUGCCAAAACGAGGCGUGUCCAUAUAGCCAUUUCAAUUUAAAAACCGAAUAUGGCGAUCGCUAACGAGCCAUUGUUCUGCGGCUUUAUGGGCAAUUAACAACAUUUUCCCCUGCCGCUGGUGCAACCGAAAAAUAAUAGUUGGUGGCCCAAGAUGGAGAGGAAAACCCACCCAAAGAGGUUAAGCGCAAUAAACUUUUAUGGUACUCCCUUUCUUAUGCUAAAACUCUUUUUGGACACAAAACCAAAUGGCCCAUAGAGCAAGACAAUGAACAUCCAAAAUAGAUCUCCACUGAGGCAAAACAAAAGCCAAUAACUUUAUAGAACCGCAACCAAAAAAUACAAAAAA
Molecule: long non-coding RNA, 542 nt
Organism: Drosophila mauritiana
Lineage: Eukaryota; Metazoa; Arthropoda; Insecta; Diptera; Drosophilidae
Exons: 2
Source: RefSeq, a predicted model, not a curated record